This 908-nucleotide long non-coding RNA is filed under the name Marmota monax (woodchuck). The record is from RNAcentral. Lineage: Eukaryota; Metazoa; Chordata; Mammalia; Rodentia; Sciuridae.
UCAAGACAGCUGCGUCACACAAUAACCGAGGCAUUCUGCAACCCUAAACACCAAGUCUGGGGAUGGACGGGGGAACUGAGGCUUUCCUGCCAAUGAUGGAGGUCAGAGAGGCACCUGACAUUUCUAGGGGAUGAAGGGCCUGUGGUUUUCUUCAUCUGUCUAUGAAGGAAAGGUAGGAAAACAGAAUAAAAGGAAACUUAUAUUGAUCCAGGAUUGGGUUUUUGGUGCAAAUUGAAAACAAUGUUAUUUCAUGUGGUUUUGUCUGAAGGAGCCAACUGCUUGAAACAAGUAAAAUGUGAAAUAAGGUAUUACCGUAUGGAAUAGGAUAUGCUGGGGGAGGAUGAACUUCAGGGGGGUUGCUUUAGUGGCUUGACCCCAUUAUCAAUGACCCAGGACUUUCUGUCCCUCUGCCCUGUCCCCCCCUUUCUGUUGAGUUCAUCCUCAAAAAGAACGAUCAUCUAUUAUUCUGUCUCUACCCUGGGAGAUCUUUCAGAAUCCUUCUCUCUCCCAUCACCCUACCCUCUAGUGCUAAAGCCAGUCACACCCUCUUCCUCUCCUGGCAAGAGACAGGAAAUGACCCCGACCAGCUUGGACUGGCUGUUGAAGAGUCACUCACAGUAUCCAUCAUCUAGGGACUGGCAGGAAAAUGGCCAAAGUAAGGAGCAUGGAAUCUAUGCUGGACAGGGAAGGAAGUAGAAGGAGCAGAGUACUGAGAGGGAGAAGGAGAAGGGCCAGCGGCCUCGGGAGCUCAAAGAAUGAGGCUAUAAUAAUGGAGAGAACAGAGGAUCCAAGCCUGUGGCCAGGCAAAUAGAAGAAUUUAGAGAAGGUUAGACCCAAGAGAAACUGGGGCCGGGCUUUGAUCAAGAGAGGUGGUAGUUAAGGUAGAAUGGAGACAAAGGUCAUUUGAA